UACUGGGUGCGUCUGCGUGUGUGUGUUUGUGCGAGUGCGUGCGUGCGUGCGCGCUCGCGUCCGUGCGUUGAAGAGCACAUGGACGAAAGAAGACGAGAUUUAGCAGCGCUAAUUAACGCAGCCCAUCGCCUGGGGAAAAUAGGCAGCACGGGAUACCAGAAAUGCGGACACAGUGUUGUGUUGCUCUUGUGAGAGUGAAAACGAAAAUGAUGGCGGGAAAGUGAUGCCUGUAGUAGUGAUGCCUUUUCCAGUGGAGGUGUUGCACGUCAGGGUGCAGAAAUGCCCUACAGGAGACAAAAUAAGAGAGAAAUCGCACCUCUCGUGAAUUGCUUGCUAUGAACAUCCCUGCUUUCACUACGUUUUGAGUGGGACAUCAGGAAUUUUUCCAUCCUUACUAAACCACAUGAAAACCUUUCCUUAAAGCCGUUUCGACCGGGCGGGGAUACCGAUAAGAGACGCGGCUUCGGUAAGGUGAACGAGUGAGAAGCGAGACCUUCAGAUUAAAUCUGCUUACACGUACCUUAAGCUCAUCAAAGAGCAGAGUGAAGUGGAGGAUCUCGGCGAACUGACGCGCAAGAGCCUGCUCCUGCUCCAAGUGCUGCGUGGGGCUGCAGUGUGCGCUCGUUAGGAAUCCCAGCAGGCCGUGCAGGGUUCCUUCUACACAACCAAGACAGAGACCUACAGCAUUUCGGGACUGGAACCGAACCAACGGCGACGCGGCCCUUUUGUGGUGGAAAUGAACAAAACAGCUGGAGAUUAAACAGCAGCUGUGGAACAGACUCCUGCAACACGAUGCUGUUCUUUAUUGUCCUGUGUACACACACAAACACACGUCGUACAGUACACUCACCUGUCUAAUGGCUUCUCCAGCUCCACUGUAGGACCGCAGAUCCUCUAAAACACUCAUGGCCUCCAUCAGAACCUUGUUCACCUGUUCCCAUAACUCUCUCUCUGCCUCGGUGGGCCGAGCAUCUGCGGAAACAGCAACACACAGAAUGUACAGUCGGGUUAUCGUGUGUAUAAAAAUGGUUACAGCAGACGUUUUGAUACGAAACAGACGUAUAGAGGAAUGCUCUGUUAGCACAUGAGUUCAUUCAUGUUUAAAGACUGCUCUGAUCUUACUGGAACACACUUAAUAUUAAAACUGUAUUAAAUAACAUGUCCCAGUCAUCCAAUGUGUUUCCAUCUGCAUUAAGAUGAAACACAUUUGUAAUUAUAAAAGAUACACACGCUACAUAAACUUACUUUCAAAGUCCAGGAAGAAAUUCCCCGCAUUGUUGUCGAUGUCCCUCGUCAGAACCUUGAUCAGAUUCCCCAUGCCGUCCAAUCAGAAACCCUACGAGAGGAAGAGGACGGAGUUUAGUGACGCAUCACGCUGAGAAUAUAAAGAUCAUGUUACUGUGUCGUGUUGUGCGUCUGCUUGGGUCCAAUAAAUCAGUGAUGUCGAACAUUUGUCUUUUUGAACAUUUCGGAAUAGUUACCCCCCCACCCCCCACCACAUACACACCCCUGGCUAGAAUCACACCGAUCCCGGUUUGUCCCAUCUGUACUCCUUUAACAUCUCUGUAAACACAUGCAAAAAUGUGUGACAGAACAGCUGUUUAAGGCAGUGCAGUUAGAGGAAGACCAACCCACUACCACACACACACACACUGCCCAGUCACACCAGGAUAAAACAUAUGAUUGAUAGUCAUAGAAACCUUCAACAUGUGUUAAAGCACAAUAUUCCUGUGAUACAAUAAAAAUGUACAGCAAAAAAAAAUAAAUCUUGCCUGAAUAUUUUCUUUGUGAAAACCAGCAUGAUUUAUCCUGUUACGGUUUGAUGUAUAGAAAAUAAACAUUUUAUUUUACCACAAACAAAUACAAUUCUUCAUUAAAUGUGUUAACGUUUCAGAGAUCGAUCGGUUCCUCCCCUAAUUCUUAAAUAUCACUGGCUUCUUCCACUGCACUUUUUCUGGACCUCGUCUCAGGCACCUCUGGCUCUCUCAUUCAGGACUAAAAUCUGAAUCCGAACCUUUGAGAUAA
Molecule: long non-coding RNA, 2025 nt
Organism: Tachysurus fulvidraco (yellow catfish)
Lineage: Eukaryota; Metazoa; Chordata; Actinopteri; Siluriformes; Bagridae
Exons: 5
Source: RefSeq, a predicted model, not a curated record